UUUUUGGUGGCCGAGGAUAAAGGCAAUAGAUUUUUAAUCUACUUACGAGCAUUGCUCUCUUGCGU
RNAcentral lists this transfer RNA (65 nucleotides) under Pedipes pedipes. Its description in RNAcentral is "tRNA-Lys". The record is from RNAcentral. Lineage: Eukaryota; Metazoa; Mollusca; Gastropoda; Ellobiida; Ellobiidae.